Paramuricea clavata is the source of this 84-nucleotide non-coding RNA. The record is from the annotation of a GenBank genome assembly. Lineage: Eukaryota; Metazoa; Cnidaria; Anthozoa; Malacalcyonacea; Plexauridae.
GGCGGGGAAAAUUAGGGCGGGAAAAGUUAGGCGGCAGGGGGAGGGUUUUCCCCCCUAACUUUUCCCGCCCUAAUUUUCCCCGCC